RNAcentral lists this unclassified non-coding RNA (259 nucleotides) under uncultured fungus. Its description in RNAcentral is "sequence contains ITS1". Lineage: Eukaryota; Fungi. The record is from RNAcentral.
GUUUUUAUUAUUAUUUAUAAAUUAAAUUUCAGACAAAAUUUUAAAGCGUUGGUUCGUUUAAAAAAAACUCUGGGAGGCUGGUUCAAUCUUUUUUUAAAAAAGAUAUCCCAAAUCCCAUGGUAACCAACUGUUUGUUAGCCACCAGGGAAAAAACCAUCCCAAAGUAUACUUUCAGUAGGUGCACACAAGGUGAAUAUGGAUACAAAAAAUCCAUAUGGAUUAAUUGAUAAUGAUCCUUCCGCAGGUUCACCUACGGAAA